Molecule: long non-coding RNA, 1016 nt
Organism: Oncorhynchus gorbuscha (pink salmon)
Lineage: Eukaryota; Metazoa; Chordata; Actinopteri; Salmoniformes; Salmonidae
Exons: 2
Source: RefSeq, a predicted model, not a curated record
AAGCUGGCAGGUAUGCUGCAGGAGAACCAUAGGUCACUGGUUGCGACUAAUGAGCAUUUGCUGAGUGAAUUGGAGAGGACUGGGAGACGGCUCUGAGGAGCAACACGUCACAACUACAACAACUAGAGAACUGGAGGAGACUAGGAGACGGCUCUGAGGAGCUACACAUCACAACUAGAGAACUGGAGGAGACUAGGAGACGGCUCUGAGGAGCUACACAUCACAACUAGAGAACUGGAGGAGACUAGGAGACGGCUCUGAGGAGCUACACAUCACAACUACAACAACUAGAGAACUGGAGGAGACUAGGAGACGGCUCUGAGGAGCUACACAUCACAACUAGAGAACUGGAGGAGACUAGGAGACAGCUCUGAGGAGCUACACGUCACAACUAGAGAACUGGAGGAGACUAGGAGACGGCUCUGAGGAGCAACACGUCACAAGUAAAGAACUGGAGGAGACUAGGAGACGGCUCUGAGGAGCUACACAUCACAACUAGAGAACUGGAGGAGACUAGGAGACGGCUCUGAGGAGCAACACGUCACAACUAGAGAACUGGAGGAGACUAGGAGACGGCUCUGAGGAGCUACACAUCACAACUACAACAACUAGCAGGCCCACAACUACAACACCAGGGCCACAUUCCGUAGGUAAACGUUAUGGAACAUUGCAAAUAGAAAUGUCAUGAAUAGAGCCAAUUUCUUACUCUACAUGAUGUCAGAGAGGAAUGUUUGUUCUACAUUUCUAUCUGAACGUUCCAGAACGUUGUCCUGCUGAACGAGCACCAGCAGCAGAUUCUCUUAUUUUAGCUCUAUAUACACUGCUGCCAACAUUUACACUGUUCUUCUGAUGCUCCGGGAUUAAUGUUGAGCAUGAAAACUUGUCUCUAACUCUGAUCUCAUUUUUUACUUCUGUGUAUCGUUAUGGUUUUACUGUGUCCACUAUCCACACCUUUACACUGUUCCUUACUGACUGUAUCCACACCUUUACACUGUUCCUUACUGACUCUAUCCACA